This 568-nucleotide long non-coding RNA is filed under the name Ananas comosus (pineapple). RNAcentral's name for it is "long non-coding RNA (ACOM_LNC039049)". Lineage: Eukaryota; Viridiplantae; Streptophyta; Magnoliopsida; Poales; Bromeliaceae. The record is from RNAcentral.
GAAGGGUGACGCAUGCAUACAAACUGUGUGAAUACGAUUAUUUUGCCGGUUUGAUCAGCACGAUCAUCUUCGCGAUAGGCUGAUCGAUCAAAUCUGGCAUUAAAUUGCUAUUUUCACCGUGCGUAUGUAUCGCUAGUCCCUAUACCGUGCGGCCAUCUUCACGAUAAGCUCGACAUAGUCAAAACCCAGCGAUCCAAAUGGAACCUUUCUUAAUGGGUUGAUCGAGUGGCCAUCUUUGUGAUAGGAUCAACAAGAUUAAACCCGAGCAUUUGGACAAAAAAAUAAUAAAAUAAAAAAAUAAAUAAUAAAAAUAACAAAAUAAGUGUUAUUUUAAUUUGUCAUUUUCGUGAUAGGCAUUGUUCGAUCCAUACACCAUCUUUGUGAUAGGCAUUGUUCGGCUCGAUCGAUUUGCAAUCUUUGUGACAAGCACUAUUCGAACCAUAUGUCAUAUUUAUGAUAGGCAUGGUUCAACUUGACCAAAUUGCCAUCUUCUUGAAAGGCACAUGUUUGAUCGAAUUGUCAUCUUCGUGAUAGGUAUAAUGCAACUUAAUUGAACCUCUUUUUUGGG